AUACGGAGGAUCCGAGCGUUAUCCGGAUUUAUUGGGUUUAAAGGGUGCGCAGGCGGCCAUUUAAGUCAGCGGUUAAAUCGUGGGGCUCAACCCCAUUCUGCCGUUGAUACUGGGUGGCUUGAUUGCGGUCGAGGUUGGCGGAAUUCGUUGUGUAGCGGUGAAAUGCAUAGAUAUGACGAAGAACACCGAUUGCGUAGGCAGCUGACCAGACCGCAAAUGACGCUCAUGCACGAAAGUGCGGGGAUCGAACGGGAUUAGAUACCCUGGUAGUCCGCACAGUAAACGAUGAAUACUUGUUUUCGGCGAUAUAAUGUCGGAGGCAAAGCGAAAGCGAUAAGUAUUCCACCUGGGGAGUACGCCGGCAACGGUGAAACUCAAAUGAAUUGGCGGGG
Molecule: ribosomal RNA, 392 nt
Filed under: uncultured bacterium
Lineage: Bacteria
Description: partial 16S ribosomal RNA
Rfam family: Bacterial small subunit ribosomal RNA
Source: RNAcentral